Molecule: small nuclear RNA, 107 nt
Organism: Myotis lucifugus (little brown bat)
Lineage: Eukaryota; Metazoa; Chordata; Mammalia; Chiroptera; Vespertilionidae
Source: Ensembl
GUGCUCGCUUCGGUAGCACAUAUACUAAAAUUGUAAUGAUACAGAGAAGAAUAGCAUGGCCCCUGCGCAAGGAUGACACGCAAACUCGUGAAGUGUUCCAUAUUUUA